This 616-nucleotide ribosomal RNA is filed under the name Holtermanniella nyarrowii. RNAcentral's name for it is "eukaryotic LSU rRNA". It matches the Rfam family "Eukaryotic large subunit ribosomal RNA", at positions 51 to 654 of the family's 3401-position model. Lineage: Eukaryota; Fungi; Basidiomycota; Tremellomycetes; Holtermanniales. The record is from RNAcentral.
CGGAGGAAAAGAAACUAACAAGGAUUCCCCUAGUAACGGCGAGUGAAGCGGGAUGAGCUCAAAUUUGUAAUCUGGUGGACUCAGUUCAUCCGAGUUGUAAUCUAUAGAAAAGUUUUCCGCGUCGGACCGUGUCUAAGUCCCUUGGAACAGGGUGUCAGAGAGGGUGAGAAUCCCGUGCUUGAUACGACCACCGAUGCUAUGUGAUACUUUUUCAACGAGUCGAGUUGUUUGGGAAUGCAGCUCAAAAUGGGUGGUAAAUUCCAUCUAAAGCUAAAUAUUGGCGAGAGACCGAUAGCGAACAAGUACCGUGAGGGAAAGAUGAAAAGCACUUUGGAAAGAGAGUUAAACAGUACGUGAAAUUGUUAAAAGGGAAACGAUUGAAGUCAGUCGUGCUCUCUGAGAUUCAGCCAGUUAUUCUGGUGUAUUUCUCAGUGAGCGGGUCAACAUCAGUUUAGAUCGCUGGAUAAGGUCAUUAGGAAUGUGGCUCCCUCGGGAGUGUUAUAGCCUAGUGUCGCAUACAGUGGUUUAGACUGAGGAACGCAGCUCGCCUUUAUGGCCGGGGUUCGCCCACGUCCGAGCUUAGGAUGUUGACAUAAUGGCUUUAAACGACCCGUCU